GACGAACGCUGGCGGCGUGCUUAACACAUGCAAGUCGAACGGUGAAAGCGGAGCUUGCUCCGCUGGAUCAGUGGCGAACGGGUGAGUAACACGUGGGCAACCUGCCCCAGACUUCGGGAUAACUCCUCGAAAGAGGUGCUAAUACCGGAUACGAAGCCCCCAGGCAUCUGGGGGCUUGGAAAGGUUUUCGGUCUGGGAUGGGCCCGCGGCCUAUCAGCUUGUUGGUGAGGUAACGGCUCACCAAGGCGACGACGGGUAGCCGGCCUGAGAGGGCGACCGGCCACACUGGGACUGAGACACGGCCCAGACUCCUACGGGAGGCAGCAGUGGGGAAUAUUGCGCAAUGGGCGAAAGCCUGACGCAGCAACGCCGCGUGAGGGAUGACGGCCUUCGGGUUGUAACCUCUUUCAGCAGGGAAGAAGCGAAAGUGACGGUACCUGCAGAAGAAGCACCGGCUAACUACGUGCCAGCAGCCGCCGUAA
This 482-nucleotide ribosomal RNA is filed under the name uncultured bacterium. RNAcentral describes it as "partial 16S ribosomal RNA". It matches the Rfam family "Bacterial small subunit ribosomal RNA", at positions 28 to 523 of the family's 1533-position model. The record is from RNAcentral.